AUGAACGCUGGCGGCGUGCCUAAUACCUGCAAGUCGAGCGCACAGACGAGGAGCUUGCUCCUCUGACGUUAGCGGCGGACGGGUGAGUAACACGUGGAUAACCUACCUAUAAGACUGGGAUAACUUCGGGAAACCGGAGCUAAUACCGGAUAAUAUAUUGAACCGCAUGGUUCAAUAGUGAAAGACGGUUUUGCUGCCACUUAUAGAUGGAUCCGCGCCGCAUUAGCUAGUUGGUAAGGUAACGGCUUACCAAGGCAACGAUGCGUAGCCGACCUGAGAGGGUGAUCGGCCACACUGGAACUGAGACACGGUCCAGACUCCUACGGGAGGCAGCAGUAGGGAAUCUUCCGCAAUGGGCGAAAGCCUGACGGAGCAACGCCGCGUGAGUGAUGAAGGUCUUCGGAUCGUAAAACUCUGUUAUUAGGGAAGAACAAAUGUGUAAGUAACUAUGCACGUCUUGACGGUACCUAAUCAGAAAGCCACGGCUAACUACGUG
This 496-nucleotide ribosomal RNA is filed under the name uncultured bacterium. Its description in RNAcentral is "partial 16S ribosomal RNA". It matches the Rfam family "Bacterial small subunit ribosomal RNA", at positions 29 to 507 of the family's 1533-position model. The record is from RNAcentral.